RNAcentral lists this transfer RNA (126 nucleotides) under Prevotella sp. RNAcentral describes it as "tRNA-OTHER". Lineage: Bacteria; Pseudomonadati; Bacteroidota; Bacteroidia; Bacteroidales; Prevotellaceae. The record is from RNAcentral.
ACUGGUGUGGUGCGAAUGGUAGACGCUAAAAAGUCCAUUUAGAAGGAUGUCUCUAAAUUCAGUUGAAAUAUACGUUUGGAAUAAACCUUAGGGAAGGGUUUGCGGGUUCGAGUCCCGCCACCAGUU